RNAcentral lists this long non-coding RNA (264 nucleotides) under Vigna radiata. Its description in RNAcentral is "long non-coding RNA (VRAD_LNC007161)". The record is from RNAcentral. Lineage: Eukaryota; Viridiplantae; Streptophyta; Magnoliopsida; Fabales; Fabaceae.
CAUUAUGUUUUUUUUUUUUUUUUUUCUUUUUCAUUUUCUUUUUCAUCCAUAUAAUCUAGAUUGUAGAUAGAGUUGGUCUUCUUGAAACGAUUGGAAAUUUAAGGGUUUUUUAUUUUUAUUUUUUUUAUAAUUACGAAAAUGUUAUUGUUUAUUUCAUGAAUUUUCUAAAAUAAUACACUGGUUUAGACUAUAUAAAUUCACGUGAAAGAUAGGUAAAUGUUUGUCCUUGUAUAGACAAAAGUUUAUAAUAAAUUAACAUUUUUA